AUGGAAGCUCGAAUGGAAAUGGGAAGCCUUUAUCUCUGGCCUAGUACUUUUCUGCGAUUUGAACCUGACUGGAAACACCGUGGAUAUUGGGACACACAACGGAAGGUAAUCGAACAAAAAAAGACUUUCGAACCGACUGACAGUCGGAUCACGGUGUAUUACUACACUGACUAUCUAGAUGGAACUGGGUCCAGAGUCACCGUCACAGUCGAUCCAUUAUCCCUGGAGUCCAAGAGUCCGCCUCUACAAUCUUUCUAUUCUGAAGACGCCGUUACAUUAAGCUGCAAGUACUUCGGAUCGUGUGCAUAUACGGUACACUGGUUUCGGCAGUUCCAAGGUGAGCCUCCUAAACUUCUGCUUCAGAGCCACACUUCUGGAGAACAGGAUCCUGUAUAUGCUAACGAAAGACACUUCUUCGGUUAUCUCGACCGUGACAAGAAAAUCAGCAAGUUUGUGAUCUCCAAACUGCAAGAGAGCGACUCGGCUUUGUACCAAUGUGCCAUAAGUCGGCUAGGAGCACAGUGA
Mobula hypostoma (lesser devil ray) is the source of this 525-nucleotide non-coding RNA. The record is from the annotation of a RefSeq genome assembly. NCBI's taxonomy places the organism in Eukaryota, Metazoa, Chordata, Chondrichthyes, Myliobatiformes, Myliobatidae.